CGGACGGGUGGAGUAACAACGUGGAGUAACCUACCUAUAAGACUGGGAUAACUUCGGGAAACCGGAGCUAAUACCGGAUAAUAUAUUGAACCGCAUGGUUCAAUAGUGAAAGACGGUUUUGCUGUCACUUAUAGAUGGAUCCGCGUCGCAUUAGCUAGUUGGUAAGGUAACGGCUUACCAAGGCAACGAUGCGUAGCCGACCUGAGAGGGUGAUCGGCCACACUGGAACUGAGACACGGUCCAGACUCCUACGGGAGGCAGCAGUG
Molecule: ribosomal RNA, 266 nt
Filed under: uncultured Staphylococcus sp.
Lineage: Bacteria; Bacillati; Bacillota; Bacilli; Caryophanales; Staphylococcaceae
Description: partial 16S ribosomal RNA
Rfam family: Bacterial small subunit ribosomal RNA
Source: RNAcentral